Callorhinus ursinus (northern fur seal) is the source of this 1281-nucleotide non-coding RNA. The record is from RefSeq and is a predicted model, not a curated record. NCBI's taxonomy places the organism in Eukaryota, Metazoa, Chordata, Mammalia, Carnivora, Otariidae.
UAGGGCGCGGGCCGCUAGCGCGGCUCCCCGACCAUGGCGAAGAAGCGGGGCCAAGACGAAGACCCCGGUCCCAACCCAUCGGUGCUGUUCCUGCACCCGGACCUGGGCGUGGGCGGUGCCGAGCGGCUGGUGCUGGACGCGGCACUGGCGCUGCAGGCGCGCGGUUGUAGCGUCAAGAUCUGGACCGCGCACUAUGAUCCUGGCCACAGCUUCGCGGACAGCCGCGAGCUGCAGGUGUCUGCUUGCAUCCCAGUGCUCAAGCUGGCCAGACGGCCCAAGAAGAUCCUGUUUUAUUGUCACUUCCCAGAUCUGCUUCUCACCAGGAGAGAUUCUUUUCUGAAACACUUAUACAGGGCCCUAAUUGACUGGAUAGAGGAAUACACCACAGGCAUGGCGGACUGCAUCUUAGUCAACAGCAGGUUUACAGCUGCCGUUUUUAAGGAAACAUUCAAGUCCCUGUCUCACAUAGAACCCGAUGUCCUCUACCCAUCUCUGAAUGUCACCAGCUUUGACUCCACUGUUCCUGAAAAGCUCGAUGACCUCGUCCCCAAGGGGAAGAAAUUCCUGUUCCUCUCCAUCAAUAGAUACGAAAGGAAGAAAAACCUGACUUUGGCACUGGAAGCCCUAGGAAAACUGCGUGGAAGGUUGACAUCCCAGGACUGGGACAAGGUUCAUCUGAUCAUGGCAGGUGGUUAUGAUGAAAGAGUCCUGGAGAAUGUGGAACACUAUCAGGAAUUGAAGGAAAUGGUCCAGCAGUCCGACCUUGGACAGUGUGUGACCUUCCUGCGGUCUUUCUCAGACACACAGAAGAUCGCGCUCCUCCAUGGCUGUACCUCUGUGCUUUACACACCAAGCAACGAACACUUUGGCAUCGUCCCUUUGGAGGCCAUGUACAUGCAGUGCCCGGUCAUUGCCGUGAAUUCGGGUGGGCCCUUGGAGUCCGUCAUCCACGGCGUCACAGGGUUUCUGUGUGAGCCUGACCCAGUGCAUUUCUCAGAAGCGAUGGAAAAGUUCAUCCACGAGCCUUCCCUAAAAGCCACAAUGGGACUGGCAGGGAGAGCCAGGGUGAAGGAAAAGUUUUCCUCUGCAGCUUUUACAGAACAGCUCUACCAGUAUGUCACCAAACUGCUGGUAUAAUCCCACUUUUUAAAGGCCUGUAUGCUGUAUUCAUUAGUACCAUUUUUUUGUAGACCGUAGCCUCACUUUUGAAACCGAAAAAGAAACCUAGAGUCCACUGCAGAAGCGAUUAAAAGAAAAAUAAACUUGAAUCUUGAAUCUGAG